GAGGCUGUAGCUCAGUGGUAAAGUGCUUGCUUCGCAUGUAUGAGGCACUGGGUUCAAUCCUCAGCACCACA
RNAcentral lists this transfer RNA (71 nucleotides) under Marmota monax (woodchuck). Its description in RNAcentral is "tRNA.Ala". The stretch from base 6 to 66 matches the Rfam family "tRNA", at positions 6 to 65 of the family's 71-position model. Rfam says of the family: Transfer RNA (tRNA) molecules are approximately 80 nucleotides in length. Their secondary structure includes four short double-helical elements and three loops (D, anti-codon, and T loops). Lineage: Eukaryota; Metazoa; Chordata; Mammalia; Rodentia; Sciuridae. The record is from RNAcentral.